Pelobates cultripes (western spadefoot toad) is the source of this 214-nucleotide non-coding RNA. The record is from the annotation of a GenBank genome assembly. Lineage: Eukaryota; Metazoa; Chordata; Amphibia; Anura; Pelobatidae.
CAAUCUUCUUAUAGCCUAGGCCAUCUGUAUGUAGAGCAACAAUUCUUUUUUUCAGAUCCUCAGAGAGUUCUUUGCCGUGAGGUGCCAUGUUGAACUUCCAGUGACCAGUGUGAGAGCGAUAACACCAAAUUUAACACAUCUGUUCCCCAUUCACACCUGAGACCUCGUAACACUAUCAAGUCACAUGACACCGGGGAGGGAAAAUGGCCAACUG